AUGGCUGUGGGGAUGCAUUCACUUUCAUCAUUUUGGAAGCAUAGAUAGGUUGAGUGCUGUCAAUGACGAUAGAAUAGGAAUGAAAGGAAGCUCAGUUUAUAGAAAAAACUCAGUUUUUUAGUUUAUCUAAUUCCUAAUGUGGUAUAUGUGUAUAGGUAUGUGUUUGGUAUGUGUUUUAAAGAAAUACUGGUGAACUAACAUAGUAUAACAUUAUAUUUUGUUAUAUAAACUUAAUAUAAAUCCUAUUAUUGAACUUUUAACAUGCAGCUUAAUAAUUACUUUGGGGGGAACGUGAUUUAUUUAUGUUUUUUUUCUUUUUAAAAAAUAUUUUAUUUGAAUUCAAUUUGCCAGCAUAUAGUAUAACACCCAGUGCUCAUCCCAUCAGCAGCUUAAUAAUUAUUAUGAUCAUCUUUUGCCAUGUUUGCUUUAUUCAAAAGUAAACAUGUAGUAAAGCAACAAAUGCUAUGUCAUAAAAACUUAGAUACAGGAGUAUAAACAAGGUUGCUGAUCUGUGGGAAUAGUGGAAGCUAUUUUUGCUUCUAUGUAAGUCUUCGUGGUUUGCGAAUAAGGUAACAUGGUUGCAAUAUCAUAAUUGAAAUACUAGGGGAAAUGUAAAAUGUGCUCUAUUAUUAUAUAUUACUAUUGCAAUAAUUAUUAUUAGGUAAAUGGAAGUAGUUUUAUGUGGUUUUACAGUCAUGAGGGGAAAGAAUAAGAUUUUGGACUAGGAUAGAUAGAUAGAGGCGGGGAGAAUCUAGAAUGACUUCCUAGUUCCUGGCUUGACUCUAGAGUAUAACAGUGGUAUAGUUAACUAGGAUAGAGGCAAAUAGAGGAAGAGGGAUUUUUUCUUAUGUGUAUGUGUGUAUAGGAUAUGGAAUAGAAAACUGGGGAAGGGGAAGGAGAUGAGAAACUCAUUGAAGACAUAUUGAAUAUCAAAGAUUGUCCCUGGGAUAUCCAUAGAGAGAAGUUCAGUAGGGAGCUCAGCAUGUGCCUCUGAAGCUUAGGAGAAACGUUGGGGCUGGAAGAGAAUGUCACUAAAUAGGUAAUAGUUGAAAUUUUGGGGGAACUGGAUGUCCUUGCUUAUGGAAACUGAAUAUAGUGAGGAAAUGAGAAACAAAUUAGUAAAUGGGCAAAGUAAGAUAAGGCAGCAAAAAAAUUAAGAAUAAAUAGGAUGGAAGGGAACAUCAACAGAGCUCAGUGUUGUAGAAUACAGUGGGAGAGAGGAUUCAGUAAAAAAGGAGUCCAGAGUAUUGAUUAUGCCCCCUUUUUUUUUGCCCUCACAAAUUAAGAGUCAUGAGGGCAAGGACUAUGUCUUAUUUAAUACUGCAAAUAUUUUGAUUAAUGGAUAAACAAAUGAUGACCUCAUCAUUUUGAAUAUUUAUUCAUGUUGAAUUAGUGUUUUUGGAAACUUGAGUGUUUCUUACUACAAGCAGUUGCUACUCAAGAAUAUACAAGAUAAGCAAGAUAUAGAAAAAAAUUAAUAAUCCUAAUAAUCCUAACCCAGAAAUAACAACUGUUAACUCCGUUUUCAAAUUUUUAUACUUGUUUGUUGUUCAUCCUAGAAAUGAAUAUUUAGCUAUAAUAUCCUUUAAUGGCUGAGUAAGUAUUCCAUAUGGAAUAAGGAUGUACUAUAAUUUUGGCAAUUUCUUAUUUGAGGGUAUUAUAUUUAUGUUUUUCUCUAUUUGUAAAAGGGACAAUCUAAUAGUUACUUUUUUUGCUUUAUUUCCUUAGGAUGCAGUCUUAGAAGUGGAUUUUCCAGUAAGGUCUUCAUAGCCAGCCUGUUCUUCUUUGUUUUAGGCUUAUUUCUAAUAGGCUUGUUUAUAUGUGUAUUCUUAUUCUAUCCUGGAUUGGAAUCAGAAAAUUGAACAGUAUUGCAGGUACUGAAUGAUGUAAACAUGCUGAUAGCCACAAAAGUGAUAAUUGACUCCACUACAAGAAAUGUUAAACUCUUUCAGAUGGAAGGGAAAUGAUAUCAGAUGGAAAUAGAGAUCUACACAAAGGAAUGAUGAACACUGGAAACAGUAAUUAGAUGGGUAAAUGUGUUUCCACAAGAAAAGACAGCAUAUAUUCCUACAGAGACCUGUACAUGAAUAUUCAUAUUUUUAAGUCUCCAAUGUGAAACAACCCAAAUGUCCACCAACAGAUAAAUGGAUAAAUUGUGAUAUAUUCAUAUAAUGGAAUACUACUCAGCAAUAAAAGUGUAGCUCUGUCUGCUGAAACUAAGAAAUUGAAUAUGCGACCUUGGAGGAUCUUUUCAGGCUAAUACUAAACCCAGUAACUUACCUACACACUUCAUGUCCCUAUGAUGCACAACUCCAUUGGGCACUAUUUACAUUGUAAUGUAUGUAAAUGGCAUUUCCUGAAGCAGGAUUAAGAAGCUCCAGGAUUGGUUCCUGGAAGUGGAACUACUGUAUCAAAGAUUUGGACAUUUUUAAGACCCAAGAAAGGUAAUAUAGUAAUAAACGUGAUUGUAAAUUUGAACACCUUCUUAGCAACACUAGUUACUAACACUUAUCUUCAAUCUUUGUCAAUCUGAUGGGGAGACUCCGUGUGUAAUUGAAUUUGAUAAAAUUGCAAUUUUGCUCAUAUACUCACAUUAAUAACUUUACUGCCUCAAAGAUCUAAUAUUCUUUGUCUUCUCUGUGAUGCUUACUCAGCUGGUGAAGAAAUGUAUUUUUUAUUGACUUUGGCAAUAUUUCUUUUAAAAUAAAUUAUAUUUUGAACACAUGCAAAGGUGAAGAAAAAUAGUAUAAGGAAGGAUCCAAAUUAUUUUACUUAGUAAAAAAAAAGGUGAGAUUGUAUUUAAUUCUUAAUGUAGUGGUAAAUAGAGCAUUAUUACUAUAAGCUAGCAGUAUCCUAUUUUACUUAUUGAAUUUAUUUCUUUAUUGAAAUCAUAUUGGAUUUAUUGCUUAAUGUGCCAUUUUCACUAUAGCACUUUCCAAAAUGCUUCCUAAAUGCUUAGCUUAUAGUCAAGAAAAACAUUUACUAGAUAACUACUUUGAAAUAACUACCUCAACCUUGCUUUCAUUCUCAAUGCCUUAGAAACAGACUUGCUUGCCUACGUUAAUUUUCUUUCAUGUUAUCAUUACUAUGAAGUCAUUCUAUAGAUAGGGUAAUAAGCAUCCUGGCAUGCAGGGAAAUAGCAUCUGUAAAACUAUAUGGCGCAGUAUGGUUGGGGUUCUUCCUCCCUCAGAAUCUCAUUACGUAAUUUAAAAAUGUUUACUUAAGCUCCUUUGGGCUGCCUCCAUGGUAGCUAUGAAAUCACAGAAUUAGGAACAGUUUGGGGCCUGAUAACAAAGUCUAUUAGUUUAAUGUGAAUGCUGUGUCAGUUUCUUUUUUAUCAUUGCUGUAUAAGAACCUUUAAAAACAAAGAUAUAUUUUAUUCAUUUUACUUUUUAAAACAUGUAUGCUUCUUCAAAAAUCGAAAUACAUAGAGGGGUUCAUAAAUAUAUGUUUGCUCAUUAUCUAGAUGUGCUUAUUUUAAAAUUUGUAUUCCAUACUAUAUAUUCCCACAAUGUGAUUCUGACUCAAUAGAACUAUAAAUAAUUAUGCAGAAUGACCAAAACAUGUAGAGGUAUUAGCCCUCAGGAGAGCAUGAAUUAUUAAAAUUCUAUUUCUAAGCCAAGAAAGCACUAUUUAUUUCUAAGUCGUAAAUGAAAUCUUUCUAAGAGAACAUCAAAUAUGUAUAAAUUAUAAUAUCAGCUUUAGGAGAAUUUAAAAAUAUACUAGGUUAUAAGAAAAGAUUUUUUUAUUUUGAUUACUCAAAGAAAGGUAGUAUUUUCACUUCCUUAGAGAACUCUUGAGCCUCUUUACCAAGCAAAUAAUUAUGUGUACUGGUUUUAAAGAAAAAUAAUGCACUGUGCCUUGUAAACAUGGAAGAACAGUCAUUUAAAUUUUGCAUAAAAUCAUCAAAUGGUUUAUCACCUUCAAGGCAACAUGCAGAUUCUUAUUAGAUACCUAAAAUCUCACAUCCCUUUUGGAACUACUGAGUUUUAUGAGUAAACAAGCCUAAGUCAAGAUCCUGAUACCUAAAAACAUAGCUCUUUUAAAGAAAUGUCAUCUUAAUUAUGUAACAUGAAUUUGUUAUAAAAUACUUUAUUGGGAUACUCUCUAUAGCAUUUUGCUUGUUAACCCUGAGAAGUAAAGACAUGUCACUGAUGGCCUUCCCAGUGAUCUAGUGAGGUACAAAGUCAGGGAUAAUUCAAGGAAGGAACAGCAAAAACUUUUAGGACCUGAUCAUCACUUUGGAAGUAUAGCCACUGUGGGGGGGUCCUGCCUGGAUUGGGAGAGAGAGGUAUCUUGUAUAGGGGGCCUGGCCUGGAGUGGGGAGAAUGGUCAGAAGGGAGGAGGAGGAAAGAUUAUGAGACCAACUGCCUACUGGGUUGGUUUAGAAUUAGCUUUGCUGUAACAAUGGAAUGUCUGCAAUUUUGUAUCUCAUUCUGAUAUCAAAAGACAAUAUUUGGUUUCUUAUGUUUAAACACUUUUAAUAUAUAAUACAUUGUUUAUAAAUCUGU
This is a long non-coding RNA of Canis lupus familiaris (dog), 4511 nucleotides long. RefSeq lists it as uncharacterized. The record is from RefSeq and is a predicted model, not a curated record. The transcript is spliced from 6 exons. NCBI's taxonomy places the organism in Eukaryota, Metazoa, Chordata, Mammalia, Carnivora, Canidae.